UACCACUAUUUUGUCGGAUGAAUGGGCAAAUGCGCUGGCAAUAGCAUAUCCCAUACCAACUCCCAUUGUUGACAUAGUGCCUGCAUCCAGUCGACCACGUGGAUGAGUUACUUCUAAAAGCUGACGGCCCCGGUCCAUUGUAUUGGCGCCUUCAGAAACCCAAGUGAUAUUACGCUUUGAUUUGAGCGAUAAGCUUUGUAGCUCCUCAUUCACGACAUACAAAGCAUAAUUCAUUUGCAACGGUAUACUGGACUUUCGAGAUUCAAGAGCCUUUUUCUCAUUCUUGGAUCGGGUUUCAUUUAACGUGCGAAGGUAAGGGGUCGAGAUGCCAACACUGUACUUCCAAGUUUGAACGAGCUUAAAAAGACAAUCUAUUGUCAGACCUACAUCAGCCCAAAUUGCUAAAUCCAAAUCUGCAGCAUUGUUUCCUAAAGUUUCAGCAUUGGUAUCAAUUUGAAUAAAUUUGGCAUUAGGAGACCACUUUGGUGGAAGACCAUAUUGAAAUAUCCAAUUUAAACGUGCCCCUGCUAAGAGCACUACAUCUGCAUUACGAAGAGCAGCUGACCUUGCCGAAGACACAUUUAAGGGAUGCGAUUCUGGUAACAAACCUUUGCCCAUGGGACUCGGAAGAAACGGAAUGCCAGUAUGUUCAACAAAUUCCAAGAGCUGUUUUUCAGCGCAGGCAUAUGCGGCACCUUUACCAACGACAAGCAGAGGUGCCUUUGCAUUUUUUAAAUAGUAUGCAGCCUUCUGAAGCUGUGUUGGAUCAGGUGCACAUUUGGGAGAACUAGGAAUUGGGGGUAGAGGGUCUUUAGGAAAGUCAUCGACAGUAGAUUCAAUAUAAUUUGCUGGCAAGUCAACAUAGCAUGUUCCAGGAGUGCCGGUCAUGGAGACACGAUACGCUCUUCGAAUGGAAUCAACAACCAUUUUGGGACUUGGGGGGCGCACGGCUAAUUUCGUAUGAGGUGAUAAGUAAGAAACCUGGUCCAAUUCUUGGAAGGCCCCACAGUUUUGCUGAAAUGUUUCACUGGAUCCAGCCAAAAGCAGCAAAGGCCAUCGAUUGGUUUUAGAAUUGAAAACACCGGCCAUGGCAUGUACAACGCCAGGACCGCCUACCACGACACAGACCCCAGGGCGCUGAGUUAAAUAGCCAUAGGCAGUCGCUGCAUAAGCUGCGCUUUGCUCAUUGCGAAACCCGACAAACCGAAUUCCACUUGCUUGGAUAGCCUCACAAAUUUCGAUUACGGGAAUGCCAACAAUGCCAAAAACAACUUUAACCUCUAAGUCCAACAAUGUCUUAGCUACCAAUUCCGAAAAGCUUAUAGACAUUGUUAUUACAAAUUAAUAUGUACCUCUAAAUUGAAUAAUAUUGUUCACCAAACAAAAGCGAUGAAAAGCUCAAUGCAAAAGAAAGACAGAAGA
Non-coding RNA from Schizosaccharomyces pombe (fission yeast), 1422 nucleotides. The record is from the annotation of a GenBank genome assembly. Lineage: Eukaryota; Fungi; Ascomycota; Schizosaccharomycetes; Schizosaccharomycetales; Schizosaccharomycetaceae.